CUUUGGGCACUGAGUUUAGCAGCAGGCUCAACCUAGAUCCUCUCUGUCAGAUCUUUCCUGUGCUCCUGCCAAACUAUCCUAAUUGGCUAUAAACACUGUUAGGAAACUGUCAGCAGCUUGGAAUUGCCAGUUUCCUGUAAGUGAGGAUUUACUAAAAACCAAAAAUCCCAUUUUCCCCUUUGCAUUCUACGACCCCUGGUACAAAAAAAUGGUAACUCACAGCUUAAAAAAUAUGAGAGUACUCACCUCCUGAAUUCUCAGGGAUACUACUAAGAUACAUUUUGAAUUUUUCAUCCUUAAAAUAACUUUUUUAAAAAAGCAUUGUGGGUAGGUUGAUCCCACUAGUCAAAUGAUUGCCUUUUUAGCUUCAUUUGUCUCUCAAUAUAGACAAGUUAUUUCUGUGCCUCAUUUUCACCCAUUCAGAUAUCAACAACUGAGCUAUUUCUCCUUCUGUGACUCAGAAGGAAGACAGAAAACUGUGAAAAAGCACUAUGCAACAACUUCUUGCAGAAGCACUUUGAUACCAUAAGGUCUUUGUGUGGACAGAUGCUUCUGUUUUCCUUGUGUUAAAAUCUGGGAGUGAAAUUGCUAGGUAAAAUUCAUAUACCAAAAUACAGUAGUUCCCGACUUAUCCAUGGGGAAUACUUUCCAGGACCUCCAGUGGAUGCUCAAGACCGUGGAUAGUAUUGAACACUAUGCUAUGUUUUUUGUUUUCCUAUGCAGACAUAGCUAUGAUAAAGUUUAAUUUAUAAACU
This is a long non-coding RNA of Canis lupus familiaris (dog), 755 nucleotides long. RefSeq lists it as uncharacterized. The transcript has 3 exons. NCBI's taxonomy places the organism in Eukaryota, Metazoa, Chordata, Mammalia, Carnivora, Canidae. The record is from RefSeq and is a predicted model, not a curated record.